CCUGCGUGCGCUUUACGCCCAGUAAUUCCGAUUAACGCUUGCACCCUACGUAUUACCGCGGCUGCUGGCACGUAGUUAGCCGGUGCUUAUUCUUCAGGUACCGUCAUUAGUAAUAGUUAUUCGCUACUACCGUUUCUUUCCCUGACAAAAGAGCUUUACAACCCGAAGGCCUUCUUCACUCACGCGGCAUUGCUGGAUCAGGGUUGCCCCCAUUGUCCAAAAUUCCCCACUGCUGCCUCCCGUAGGAUUCUGGGCCGUGUCUCAGUCCCAGUGUGGCUGGUCGUCCUCUCAGACCAGCUACUGAUCGUUGCCUUGGUAGGCUUUUACACCACCAACUAGCUAAUCAGAUAUCGGCCGCUCCAGGAGCAUGAGGUUUUGCGAUCCCCCACUUUCAUCCGUAGAUCGUAUGCGGUAUUAGCUAGUCUUUCGACUAGUUAUCCCCCACUCUAGGGCACGUUCCGAUAUAUUACUCACCCGUUCGCCACUCGCCAUCAGGAGCAAGCUCCUAUGCUGCCGUUCGACUUGCAUGUGUAAGGCAUGCCGCCGGCGUUCAAUCUGAGCCAGGAUCAAACUCUCCA
RNAcentral lists this ribosomal RNA (578 nucleotides) under uncultured bacterium OS9C. RNAcentral's name for it is "partial 16S ribosomal RNA". The record is from RNAcentral.